Molecule: ribosomal RNA, 461 nt
Filed under: uncultured bacterium
Lineage: Bacteria
Description: bacterial SSU rRNA
Rfam family: Bacterial small subunit ribosomal RNA
Source: RNAcentral
GACGACGCUGGCGGCGUGCCUAACACAUGCAAGUCGAACGGAGUUGCCCUUCGGGACAACUUAGUGGCGAACGGGUGAGUAACGCGUGAGAAACCUGCCUUUCAGUGGGGGGACAACAGUUGGAAACGACUGCUAAUACCGCAUAAUGUAUCGAGAGGGCAUCCUCUUGAUACCAAAGAUUUAUUGCUGAAAGGUGGUCUCGCGUCUGAUUAGCUAGUUGGUGAGGUAACGGCUCACCAAGGCGACGAUCAGUAGCCGGUCUGAGAGGAUGAACGGCCACAUUGGGACUGAGAUACGGCCCAGACUCCUACGGGAGGCAGCAGUGGGGAAUAUUGGGCAAUGGGCGAAAGCCUGACCCAGCAACGCCGCGUGAAGGAAGAAGGCCUUCGGGUUGUAAACUUCUUUUAGCAGGGACGAAGGACGUGACGGUACCUGCAGAAAAAGCAACGGCUAACUACGUG